Molecule: non-coding RNA, 75 nt
Organism: Podarcis lilfordi (Lilford's wall lizard)
Lineage: Eukaryota; Metazoa; Chordata; Lepidosauria; Squamata; Lacertidae
Source: the annotation of a GenBank genome assembly
GCCUAGAUAGCUCAGUUGGUUAAGAGCGUGCUGCUGAUAAUUCCAAGGUUGCAGGUUUGAUCCCCGUAUGGGACA